AUUUAUAUAGUUUAAAUAAAACAUUACAUUUUCACUGUAAAAACAAUACUUUUCAUAUUUAUAAAUG
Molecule: transfer RNA, 67 nt
Filed under: Pacris xizangensis
Lineage: Eukaryota; Metazoa; Arthropoda; Insecta; Orthoptera; Acrididae
Description: tRNA-Glu
Rfam family: tRNA
About the family: Transfer RNA (tRNA) molecules are approximately 80 nucleotides in length. Their secondary structure includes four short double-helical elements and three loops (D, anti-codon, and T loops). Further hydrogen bonds mediate the characteristic L-shaped molecular structure. tRNAs have two regions of fundamental functional importance: the anti-codon, which is responsible for specific mRNA codon recognition, and the 3' end, to which the tRNAs corresponding amino acid is attached (by aminoacyl-tRNA synthetases). tRNAs cope with the degeneracy of the genetic code in two manners: having more than one tRNA (with a specific anti-codon) for a particular amino acid; and 'wobble' base-pairing, i.e. permitting non-standard base-pairing at the 3rd anti-codon position.
Source: RNAcentral